AGUACCUGAUGCGUAGUUAAUGCUCAACAAGGGUGAGCUACUGUUGAGAUACAUAACAUGUAAAUGUUGAAUCUGCAUCUCACUUGAAAUGGUUGGGUUUGGAGAAACGGAUAGUCAAGCUUAUUGGAAUUAUUGUUAAAAGUGUUCUUUCUUGGAACCAUCUGCCAAGCUGUGAGGAAACUCCAGAGCCAUAUGACAAGACCUGAUGGAGGAUAACUGAGGACUUUGGCCAACAACCCCAGCUGAGCUCCCAGUUGGAAUGUGAAUGAGGCCAUUUUGAGUGUUCCAGCCUAUUGGAGCCCUAGCCAACACACUCUACAAACUAGAACUGCCUGAUUGACCCGCAGAAUCAUAAGAAAUAAAGUAAUUUGAAGGCCUUCCCUGACUUAAAGUGGAUGCUGCUUUGGAAAGCACUGGAAAAAUGGAUCCUGUCUUUCUUAGCCAAGGACUGGUCUCUUUUCUCCAAUGUGUCCCUAACAGAGUGGUGAGGCUGGCUCUUCCCACCAGUACAGACAGAAUUUUCAAUUCACAAAUCAUCUGAAAAACAGGAAAUUUUGGAGAAACAUGCUUAUGAUAACAAACAAGGGAUCUAUCGUGUGGUAUAGAAGUUUACACAAAGAGGCAUCCGAUUUUAAGUUUUUUUUUUUGUUUGUUUUUGUUUUUUUUUUUACCGUUCUGGGCUUCUGGCUGCAUUCUAGGAAGAUCAUUCCUUAAAAGAAAUAGCCAUAUGGCUUAUAAGGAUUGUGUGUCCAGUGUUCAGAAGAGUGCCUGGCACAUCUAAAGUGCUGAGUUAAUGUUUAUUGGGUAAAUGAAUACAGUUUUGGGAAUCAUGAACAUUGAGAACCUAGGCCCAGACAAUUCUAAGGGACUAUAUCUUAAGACUAUGUGUCUUCUGCAGUUCUUUGCAUAGAGUCAACGUUGAAGGACAAGCAACUUCAAAUUUCCAAGCAACAAAAUUAUGUUCGGGUGGUUUUCUGAAAGCGAGAUCUUAAGAACCACCUGUAUCAGAAUCCCAUGAAGAGCUUGUUUAGUGUGCAAAUUUACAGAUUGUCCCCCCUCAGAAAUGCUCAUUUAGGAGUUCCUGUCCUUUGCGGGGACAUGGAUGAAACUGGAAACCAUCAUUCUCAGCAAACUAACACAGGAACAGAAAACCAAACACUGCAUGUUCUCACUCAAAAGUGGGAGUUGAACAAUGAGAACACAUGGACACAGGGAGGGGAACAUCACACACCAGGGCCUGUCGGGGGUGGGAGGUAAGGGGAGGGAGAGGAUUAGGACAAAUACCUAAUGCAUGUGGGGCUUAAAACCUAGAUGAUGGGUUGAUAGGUGCAGCAAACCACCAUGGACAUGUAUACCUAUGUAACAAACUUGCAUGUUCAGUACAUGUAUCCCAGAACUUAAAGUAAAAUAUAAAACAAUAAUAAAAA
Molecule: non-coding RNA, 1427 nt
Filed under: Pan troglodytes (chimpanzee)
Lineage: Eukaryota; Metazoa; Chordata; Mammalia; Primates; Hominidae
Source: RNAcentral